CAAUAGCGUAUAUUUAAGUUGUUGCAGUUAAAAAGCUCGUAGUUGGAUUUCGGGUUGGCUUCAGCGGUCUCGCUUUGCGUUUGUACUGCUGCAGCCUACCUUCUUGUCGGGGACGGGCCUUCGGGCUUAAUUGCUUGGGGCCCGGAGUCGACGAUGUUACUUUGAGUAAAUUAGAGUGUUCAAAGCAAGCCUAUGCUCUGAAUAUAAUAGCAUGGGAUAACACGACAGGACUCUGGCCUAUCGUGUUGGUCUGUAGGACCAGAGUAAUGAUUAAGAGGGACAGUCGGGGGCAUUCGUAUUCCGUUGUCAGAGGUGAAAUUCUUGGAUUUACGGAAGACGAACAUCUGCGAAAGCAUUUGCCAAGGAUGUUUUCAUUGA
RNAcentral lists this ribosomal RNA (378 nucleotides) under uncultured eukaryote. RNAcentral describes it as "partial 18S ribosomal RNA". It matches the Rfam family "Eukaryotic small subunit ribosomal RNA", at positions 592 to 976 of the family's 1831-position model. The record is from RNAcentral.